GGGUGACAGGUGGUGGUAUGGUUGUCGUCAGCUCGUGUCGUGAGAUGUUGGGUUAAGUCCCGCAACGAGCGCAACCCUCGACCUUAGUUGCCAGCAUUCAGUUGGGCACUCUAAGGUGACUGCCGGCUAAAAGUCGGAGGAAGGUGGGGAUGACGUCAAAUCAUCAUGCCCCUUAUGACCUGGGCUACACACGUGCUACAAUGGGCGGUACAAAGGGUCGCGAACCCGCGAGGGGGAGCAAAUCCUAAAAAGCCGGUCUCAGUUCGGAUUGCAGGCUGCAAUUCGCCUGCAUGAAGUCGGAAUCGCUAGUAAUCGCAGGUCAGCAUACUGCGGUGAAUACGCUCCCGGGCCUU
RNAcentral lists this ribosomal RNA (353 nucleotides) under uncultured Anoxybacillus sp. RNAcentral's name for it is "bacterial SSU rRNA". It matches the Rfam family "Bacterial small subunit ribosomal RNA", at positions 1029 to 1382 of the family's 1533-position model. Lineage: Bacteria; Bacillati; Bacillota; Bacilli; Caryophanales; Anoxybacillaceae. The record is from RNAcentral.